RNAcentral lists this long non-coding RNA (1686 nucleotides) under Piliocolobus tephrosceles (Ugandan red Colobus). RNAcentral's name for it is "lncRNA (ENSPTEG00000017000.1)". The record is from RNAcentral. Lineage: Eukaryota; Metazoa; Chordata; Mammalia; Primates; Cercopithecidae.
CGUCCGGGACCCCGCCUCCAGGAAGCCCUCCCGGCCCCGCGCUCCGCGUCACCCGGGCCCCCAGCCGCGUCGCACAGACCCCGACGGUCCAGCCGAGCGGCCCCGGGCGCGACGUCCUCCCCCCGGCCCGGGCAGGCGCCGGCGCCGCUCCCCACUUCGCCCGGCCUUUGUUAGCGCGAGGCCGCCGCCGGGGAGCCCUCCCCAGACCCGGGCGCGGCGUUUUACCUGCAGCCGCUGCGCUCGCCCAGCCGCGACCCCCGCGGGACGGAGCCGGACCCCCCUGCACCCGGGCGGACCGGGGACCCUCAGAGGCGAGCCGGCUGCCUCGGGUCACACAUCCGCGAACUCCGGGGGCGGGCUCCCCAGGACGCCGCCGCCCCCCACGACCCCCAGCCCUCCCGCUUCCGUGGAAAGCCGCCCCGACGACCCCCGUGCGGGUUGUUGAGGGGCCGUCCUCCGCCGACCGCUGUGGGAACAGCUCCGCGCGUGCGGCGGGACGCGGCGAGUCAGGGGCAGGAAGAACGCACGGGGGCCCAUGGCAUUUCUUGGUAGAAGGUCAAAGAGAAGUGUUCGUGCUUGGUAAGGCAGGAGGGUGGGAGAUAGGGCAGUGGGUGGGGAAGGAGAGUCUGGUUCACUGGGUGCCAGGAAAAGGGGGUAAAGGCUGGGCAGGAACCCCUGGCUCCUGACCAGGAAUGGCCAUGGUAAGAAUCCUGCAAAACCAGAAAUCAGAUCUUACACUGGCAGCACACGGGAACACAGCAACUGGACUGGGAGCAGCAGGGCUUGCAGCAGCUGGACUGGCAGCAGGAUGACCCACAGCCUGAGGAGCAGCAGCACGGCUUACAGCAACUGCACUGGGAGCAGGAUGGCCCACAGCCUCCCUUAGAGCCACCACAAGAGCCACAGCUGGAGCAGGAACAGGCUGGGACACAGCAACACACAGGCUUGCAGCAGCAGACGGGCACACAGCAGCCAGAGCCACAGCCCCCACAGCCGGAGCCACAGCCCCCACAGCCAGAGCCACAGCCCCCACAGCCCGAGCUGCAGCCCCCACAGCCGGAGCCGCAGCCCCCACAGCCGGAGCCACAGCCCCCACAGCCGGAGCNNNNNNNNNNGGAGCCGCAGCCCCCACAGCCGGAGCCACAGCCCCCACAGCCGGAGCCACAGCCUCCAGAGCAGCCACAGCAGCCCAUGGUUCUGGUGGAUUGAGGGUGGAGCAGGCAGAGGAGCAGGUGAGAGGGAGGUGCAGGUGUGGAGCUCCCUGAGCCUGGGCUCUUUAUAUCCCUGCCCAGGGUCACGUGUGAGGCUGGACACACAGUCACUUCCUGGUUCCUGUUUGUGCCAUUUUUAGGGCCCCUUUUUCUUGUUUCCUCUAGAAAUCCACCCCUUGGUGUAUGGGCUGCUCAGCGGGCCACAGCUCUCUUGCUGAAUCUGUGUCCAGACUUAAGGGAGGCCCCCAGCAGUCUAGCCUCUCCCUGUUGUCUCCAGAGUCACAUUGGAUUUACAAAAGCAUCUAUUUUAGGCCGGGCGUGGUGGCUCACACCUGUAAUCUCAGCACUUUGAGAGGCCUAGGCAGGUAGAUCACUUGAGGUCAGGGGUUGGAGAACAGCCUGGCCAAAAUGGUGAAAUCUCAUGUCUACUAAAAACACACAAAUUAACGGGGUGUGGUGGCUCACAUCUGUAAUC